AAAGCAUGCAACGCCCACAACCCCUGGGGAGGAAACCACAAGGUUACUCAACUGUCCUUUAUACAUGCACUGGCCAUGUUUGACUUGGUGGGCUGGGACUUCCUCGAGGGAAGCUACUUCUCUUGUCUUUUCCUGGGUGGGUACAUCAGGUUUUUUGUUUGAACAUUGACAUUUUGCACUUUCCACCUGUUGCCAUGAAGGAAAAGAUGUGUGUAACUAGGAGAAGGGCUGUCCUUCCUCUGUUCAGGAUUGCUGUCUGCUCCCAACUCAUGACCAGUGAAAACUGAACCCAAAGUCCAUGAAAAGAGAAGUCCUUGGACUGCAGGCGUACAAAUGAAGCAAAUUCUUCUCCCCCCCCCCAGAGAAUGGAAACUUCCGUGUGUCAAGAUCUCUUUUGCAAAGAAUGGGUGUUUGAACUCGCAUGGUAUUACGACACCCAGGACCUUCCAUUGUCAGCAUGAAAAGCAUUUGCAAGCUUUUCUUCUCUCCCUCAAAGGAAAGAAACCACGGCAGAGAGAAGACAGAUUUUGCAAGGUACUCUAAGACAGAGGUCCCCAACCUUUUGGACACCAGGGACCACUUCUAUGGAGAGAAGUU
Crotalus tigris (Tiger rattlesnake) is the source of this 597-nucleotide long non-coding RNA. RefSeq lists it as uncharacterized. Lineage: Eukaryota; Metazoa; Chordata; Lepidosauria; Squamata; Viperidae. The transcript is spliced from 3 exons. The record is from RefSeq and is a predicted model, not a curated record.